GUUUAGAUAGUUUAUAUAAAAUAUUGAUUUGUGGAAUCAAAGAGGUCUUAGGACUUUAGGCA
Molecule: transfer RNA, 62 nt
Filed under: Lucanus fortunei
Lineage: Eukaryota; Metazoa; Arthropoda; Insecta; Coleoptera; Lucanidae
Also listed under: 1 other name
Description: tRNA-His
Source: RNAcentral